Molecule: non-coding RNA, 45 nt
Organism: Trichobilharzia regenti
Lineage: Eukaryota; Metazoa; Platyhelminthes; Trematoda; Strigeidida; Schistosomatidae
Source: Rfam
AUCCAGAUAACGAAUCCCAAACAGGACGAAAUACGCAUCCUGGAU